Molecule: long non-coding RNA, 952 nt
Filed under: Malus domestica (apple)
Lineage: Eukaryota; Viridiplantae; Streptophyta; Magnoliopsida; Rosales; Rosaceae
Description: long non-coding RNA (MDOM_LNC002993)
Source: RNAcentral
AAAUCGAAGAGAGGGUAAAGGAACAGUACCAUUGCUGGAUAAUUGGAAAGUCCCUGUGUGUCAACCUCUGUGCUUCGUGGCAAGGUAGACUAGCAAACAUGCCCAACCUUUACUCACAUUCGAGAAAACACUCCCAACAAGAUUGCUUGCUCCAAAAUCGAAGAGGCACCGCCCUCCGAAUCUCGAGAGCCAGACUCCCAACAUGAUUACUUUCUCAAAAAUCGAAGAGACACUGCUCCCCGAAUCUCGAGAGCCAGACCCCCAGCAUGAUUGCUUUCUCAAAAAUCGAUGAGGCAUCGUUCUCCGAAUCAAUCGAAGAGGCGCUCGCUUUCUCAAAAGCUGGGCUGCUCAGAGACCACGAGGGCCGAUCUCAGAAAUCGAAGAGGCACCUACUUUUCUAGCCUUGUCAGCACCUGUCACACGCACACUCAGCUUUGCAGAAAUUAUGGGCAUUCUGUCGAAGACUUCUGGUGAAGUAGAAAGCACAUGAAUCUUACUGUUCAAUCACCCACUUCCCACACGCAACAAUAGCUCAUGGGUACCACAGAUAACUUUGCCAAAGUUCUCUGCCAAAGUUGAGCACGUGAAGCUUGCAGCUCCCACUACAUCGCUCUGACCAAGAAAGGUAAAAGAAUAGCAAAGAAACAGCACUAACAAAGUUUAGACACAUAAAUUUUGAAGGUCUAGCUACCAUAUUAUUACCCACAAGGGUAAAGGAACAGUACCACUGCUGGAUAAUUGGAAAGUCCCUGUGUGUCAACCUCUGUGCUUCGUGGCAAGGUAGACUAGCAAACAUGCCCAACCUUUACUCACAUUCGAGACAACACUCCCAACAAGAUUGCUUGCUCCAAAAUCGAAGAGGCACCGCCCUCCGAAUCUCGAGAGCCAGACUCCCAACAUGAUUACUUCCUCAAAAAUCGAAGAGACACUGCUCUCCGAAUCUCGAGAGCCA